Molecule: ribosomal RNA, 465 nt
Filed under: uncultured bacterium
Lineage: Bacteria
Description: partial 16S ribosomal RNA
Rfam family: Bacterial small subunit ribosomal RNA
Source: RNAcentral
GACGAACGCUGGCGGCGUGCUUAACACAUGCAAGUCGAACGGAAAGGCCCCUUUGGGGGUACUCGAGUGGCGAACGGGUGAGUAACACGUGAGUAACCUGCCCUUGACUUCGGGAUAACUUCAGGAAACUGGGGCUAAUACCGGAUAGGAAUCCUUGCUGCAUGGUGGGAGUUGGAAAGCUUCGGCGGUUUUGGAUGGACUCGCGGCUUAUCAGCUUGUUGGUGGGGUAGUGGCUUACCAAGGCUUUGACGGGUAGCCGGCCUGAGAGGGCGACCGGCCACAUUGGGACUGAGAUACGGCCCAGACUCCUACGGGAGGCAGCAGUGGGGAAUAUUGCACAAUGGGCGGAAGCCUGAUGCAGCAACGCCGCGUGCGGGAUGACGGCCUUCGGGUUGUAAACCGCUUUCAGCAGGGGCGAAGCUUGUGGUGACGGUACCUGCAGAAGAAGCACCGGCUAACUACGUG